GAUGAACGCUGGCGGCGUGCUUAACACAUGCAAGUCGAACGUGAAGGUGCAGCAAUGUACCUGAAAGUGGCGAACGGGUGAGUAACACGUAGAUAACCUAUCCUGAUGUGGGGGAUAACGACGGGAAACUGUCGCUAAUACCGCAUGUGCUUGAUGGCCUGGGAAUGUCGUCAAGGAAAGAUUUAUUGCAUUAGGAGGGGUCUGCGUCCGAUUAGCUAGAUGGCGAGGUAAUGGCUCACCAUGGCGAUGAUCGGUAGCUGGUCUGAGAGGAUGGUCAGCCACACGGGAACUGAGAUACGGUCCCGACUCCUACGGGGGGCAGCAGUGAGGAAUAUUGCACAAUGGGGGAAACCCUGAUGCAGCAACGCCGCGUGGAGGAAGAAGGCCUUCGGGUUGUAAACUCCUUUUCCAGGGGACGAGAGAGGACAGUACCCUGGGAAUAAGUCACGGCUAACUACGUG
This 461-nucleotide ribosomal RNA is filed under the name uncultured bacterium. RNAcentral's name for it is "bacterial SSU rRNA". It matches the Rfam family "Bacterial small subunit ribosomal RNA", at positions 28 to 507 of the family's 1533-position model. The record is from RNAcentral.